UCUGGCUCCGGGAACAUAUAACACAAGAGGUCCUGGCAGACAGUAUUAUUGGAUCAGCAGUAGCCCAUGGAUGUGCAGCGUGCUAAUCCCCGACGAGCCCCCACAAUCUGAUGCCCAAUAUGGGCACCAGAUCGUAACCACUGCACCACUGUAACCAGUUCACGGUCCAAAUAGAUCCAAUUAGAUCUACUUUAUCUCCAUGCAGCUCUGUCUUUGGUUAGUUGCAUUCAAGUGAAGAGAGAAAACAAAGUGAUGCAGUGAACCAUUUGGACCCUCUGCUACAGAAAGUUGCCUGGAUUUUCCCUCUGUAUGGAAAAGGUUUUAUCUUUUACUUCUCUUCUGUUGGGUCACAUCAUUUUUAUUAUCAUGGAAAAUGUCUCCACUCCACAGUAAAAGUCUUUGAUUGGCACCAAAUCACAAUGUUUGGCCUCAGCAUUGUUCCACCCAGUUGUCCUAAUUUCUGUCUCUGGUCCAUUUCUGGUUCUCUGGUCGUAAAUCCAGAAAUGAAGACAUUGACGGUUUUGGUCACUUUUCCUGUUCUUGGUUUGCUCCUAUAUGUCUGUAAUGUCCAGCAGCAUCUUCAUGUCCAACCGCCUGAGCAUCCCGUCCUCUGAAAGGCUCUCUGCAGAUUAUAUGGAGGAACAAAAGUGACCAACUUACUGAGUACAUACAGUUUAUACAAAUAACACACAGGACUCAGAUUCCUCACCUCUACGGCCAAAACGGGAGGAGAUUUUAUUCACAUUAAUCAACACAUCACAUCUUUACAAAGACCCAAAAUCUCCCAACUUUUGCUGAAUACGUCACUUUUUAUAGGAUUCCAUCUCUAUUGGAGUGUCUUUAACCAGUGGCAUUACUUUUCUUCAUUUUGAGAUGGAGCAGUCAUCCUGGCUCAGUUCAUACUGUGUGUGUUGCAUAUUCUGGGAAGUGAAAUCGGCUCAGUCUCAAACGGUUCUUGUAACACUUUGUGUGACGUUAUCCUGAUCUGUCCAAACUGAACGUCUCUUCUGACUCCAGUCGGUUCUCUGCAAACAUUGUUUCCUGGUCAAAGUGACUAAAAUCUGGACCAUAACUUUUUCCUUCCAGCAUUACAAAAACAUUUCUGUCCAACAAUCACAACCUGGCAGCAGCAGUGGUUUCAAAGUUCCUGCAGAUCCAUUACUGUGGAAAUGUUUAAAAGUAAAAUACAGACAGGAUUCUUUUGCGGUUCUAAGUACAGAAAAUGAAAUUGUUAGCAUGCUAGCAAGAAUGAAAGACCAAUCACACAUUUGUAUUUUCAGGAAAAGGGCGGGUCCAACAGAAACCAGCAGCGGUCGGAUCUUAAAGUGACGCCAUGAUGGAAACAUCGAGACAAUAUCUGCUCUUUUCCUGUUUGCUGAUUUGCUGCAUAACAACUGAAGUCUCUGCAGCUGCUCUGACUGUGAGUCCCAGAAGAUCUCAGUUC
Molecule: long non-coding RNA, 1444 nt
Organism: Xiphophorus hellerii (green swordtail)
Lineage: Eukaryota; Metazoa; Chordata; Actinopteri; Cyprinodontiformes; Poeciliidae
Exons: 3
Source: RefSeq, a predicted model, not a curated record